RNAcentral lists this ribosomal RNA (446 nucleotides) under uncultured Dialister sp. Its description in RNAcentral is "bacterial SSU rRNA". It matches the Rfam family "Bacterial small subunit ribosomal RNA", at positions 355 to 794 of the family's 1533-position model. The record is from RNAcentral. Lineage: Bacteria; Bacillati; Bacillota; Negativicutes; Veillonellales; Veillonellaceae.
UGGGGAAUCUUCCGCAAUGGGCGAAAGCCUGACGGAGCAACGCCGCGUGAGUGAUGACGGCCUUCGGUUGUAAAGCUCUGUGAUCGGGACGAACGGUCAGCAGACGAAUACUCUGCUGAAGUGACGGUACCCGAAUAGCAAGCCACGGCUAACUACGUGCCAGCAGCCGCGGUAAUACGUAGGUGGCAAGCGUUGUCCGGAAUUACUGGGUGUAAAGGGAGCGCAGGCGGGAAAUCAAGUUGGAUGUGAAAUGUCGGGGCUUAACCCCGGAACUGCAUCCAAAACUGAUAUUCUUGAGUGAAGUAGAGGUAGGCGGAAUUCCGAGUGUAGCGGUGAAAUGCGUAGAUAUUCGGAGGAACACCAGUGGCGAAGGCGGCCUACUGGGCUUUAACUGACGCUGAGGCUCGAAAGUGUGGGGAGCAAACAGGAUUAGAUACCCUGGUAGU